Molecule: long non-coding RNA, 5417 nt
Organism: Carassius gibelio (silver crucian carp)
Lineage: Eukaryota; Metazoa; Chordata; Actinopteri; Cypriniformes; Cyprinidae
Exons: 2
Source: RefSeq, a predicted model, not a curated record
AUAUAUAUAUAUAUAUAUAAUGAAAAAAAUUUAAUUCACAAUCUUCAUCAAAGUUUUGGUUGCUUUUUCAGGUGUAAAACGUUUUAUAUUUAUAUAGUAAUAUUCAUCAUGCGAACUCAUCUUUUUUUAAUCACCACCGAAUGUAAAGAACCAGGGGCUUGUAAUAUGAAAACUGAAAAUGCAUGCAUGUGAUCAUAGCACAUUUCAGUUAUUAUUAUUGUUUAUAUUAAUCUAUGGGUCAUUAUUUCAAUGUCAGUGAAGUAAAGCAAAGUGCUUCACAAUGUUAAAAGCUAUUUUCAUGCUCUCAUCUUGGAUGGGAUGAUAGCCCAAAUAAAAAAAUUUGGAAGCAUAAAGUAUUGAAGCAUAUGGGUAGCAUUAUUCAAUUUGGGAUGUAAUAUGCAAAAUGACAAUGCAAUAUGUCAAAUGGCAAUGCAUUUCUGUAUUUACAUUUACAUUUUCCAAUACAUUUGUGCAACAAUGAGAGAGAACUAUUUGCACUGUUUUUAUCAGUGGGACAAUAUUCAUACAAUACUACAACCUAGAAAUAAUUUGCAGGUCUCAGCAGCACAAAUUAUGUGCCCAGCUAUAUCUGAUUCAAUUCUUAAGCUAAUUAACAGUGAGCGGUGGCUUCAGACAUUAAAGUGCUUCACUCGCACUGACUUUUAUUCUGCCUGAAAGAAUAAAAAGACCGAGCUGAAGACGGAGCGAUUCGACCAAUCAGAUGAAAGCAGCGUUUCAGCUCCACUCACAAGUGUGAAUGAAAUAUUGAAGCCAUAAACCGAAAUGAUCAAAACUUACACGGACCAUCUGUCUUGUCCAUGUUCUCUCACUUGAAUCCUCUUCUUGAGAUUUGAGUCUCUGACCUUCUGUAAGCCCCACCUUGUUCAAGCAGUGAUUGACAGGGUGGGAGGGGGCUGAGAUGUGAUUGGCUCAGAAUGCAUUUUCAAUGUGCACUUUGAAUUUGCUACAUUCAUUGCGGGACACCGAAUGAAAAUACAAUCGUAAGUGUCUUGACUGUGAGUGUUAAUGCAUUUAAGAAAAAUAGCAUUUAAAUGAUGAAUUUUGCUUGAACAUGUUAGACAUACAGUAUAUAAUCUUUUCUGUAAUACAUUUUCAUUUUCAUUUUGCAACUUAUAAAGCGUUAAAAUCAAUAUUCAUUUUACAUAUUAAAACUGGUGUAGGAAAUGACAAAUGAAAAUUAUGUAAUUUAAUUUUCAUUUUCAUUUUGCACCAAACGUUGCACAAAUGUAUUGGAAAAUGUAAAUACAGAAAUGCAUUGCAAUUUUACAUAUUGCAUUGUCAUUUUGCAUAUUACAUCCCAAAUUGAAUAAUGCUACCCAUAUGCUUCCAUACGACUUGAACUUGAAGAGCCAUAUUAAGGUGAAUUCAUAUCUGGUGGUGAUAUUGUAAAUGCAAAAAAUACACAAACUACUAAAGUUAUGAACUCUUACAGGGCAGCACAGGACUUUUACUAUUGUUCAUUUAUUUUUGUUAGUUUGUUUUCCUUUCUUUUGUAAUGUAUCCUGUAUAAUGAAUGUUGCUGCUUCUACUCUGUAUAAGCGAUGUUGCAACAUUCUGUUGUCAUUAUGGUUUUGGUAAUAAAAUACCCUUACAUGUUAACCAGCGUGAAGUGUUACAUGAAAGUGAGUGGAGUUUGAUCCCUUUGACUGGAGAGAGGUCAUCUCUACACUACUGAGAGAAACUUCUGGGUUCAUUCACUGGAGACCCUCUAUAAAUGGACUAUUACUAAGUUAAAGACCCCUGUCUGUUUCUAGUCUUUCAUUUUGCUCCUCUUGAGAUCUUUGAUUCAGCUUUGUUCAAUUCUGCAGGAUGAGAAAGAUAACUUUUCACUGUUGUUUUGUUUUUGAUGGGUUUGAAUGAUAUUUAAUGUGCAUGUGUGAACAGUACUGAAUAUUAAUUAGUAUCAGUAAGAAGAAUUAAUAAUGAACAAUGGGAUACUAUUAACAAAUUAUGCUCAGAUUUAGUUAAGGUUGCUGCUGUUGCAUUUUUACUUACCUAUUUAAAGUAAAGUAUGUACAUAUGUUGUUGUUUAGUAUUACAUACUUGGGUAUUAAUUAGAAUGAACGUUUUCCCAGGCAUGGAAAUAUCCAAAUGAUGUGUCAUUAAUAACCCUUUAAAAUAAUAAAUAAUUAUUUUUUUCUUUUUUGGGGGGAAAAGUGUGUGAAAAAUUGUGUUUUAUGUUCGGUCACAAUGGUAUAAUGUGUGUACUGAAAUAACAUAUAUCGUUUUUUUUCCCCUUGAAAUAUCAGCUUCAGAAUCAUUCUGAUGGUAAGGAAGAAAUUCUGAGAAAAACAAUUGCUUUAUGACAGUGAUAUAUUUGUGACAUUCUCAUCCACAGAAUUCGAAAUGAUUACUAAAACUAUAGUCACAGCUAUAGUUAUAGUCAUAGCUGAGGUCUGUUCUCAGCAAGAAUGAUAAGUGUGGACUUCUCUAUUCUCAUGAAACCAGAUAUGAGCAAGUCUCAUAGUCUGCUAAAGCAUCUCUUGACUGAUGAUGAUAGUCUGACAGCAGAGAUCUACAUCGAUGCGGUUCAGACUCUCAUCAUGGAGAUCGGAGCCCUUAUCCUCAUGGGCUUCAGUGAGUGACCGUGGCAGUCAUUGAUUUAAGUCUUGAAGCCUUUAAUACAAUAAUAAUAUACUCUUCUCAAUGUUGCUGUGAAGGUGUUUUGGAGGUUGGGGGAUUUCAAGUUGUCCUGGAUAAGUUUUCUCAGGUGUUCUGACCAGGUAAAGAACCAGUUUAUUAUUAUUUUUAUUUUUUUGUUAAGGUGGUUUGUUCAUGCUAAAGGAGGCUCUUUACUCGCUGCUUACCCCUUCUUCAUGAUGGUGAUUCCAGGCGUGAUUAGCAGGAUACUUUACCACUGGGUGUGUCUGAAAUACACCAAAGUUUAAGACCUCUGAACAUCUAAAAGCACGAUUUGUUAUCUUAAAAUGUAUGUGAACGUGUUUGUGAAUUGUAGACGAGGUAGGCUGUGGAGACCCAAAUGUGUGUAAAACAGUUUGUGGGAAUCCGGUGGGCUUCUUGGGACAUUGCUUAAACCAGACUGCUAAUGGAGCUUCUCCUGCAGGUCUGAGGGGUUUAAUGAUGGCUGUGGUGUUGGCUGCUCUCAUGUCCUCUCUGACUUCCAUAUUUGACAGUUCCAGCACUAUUUUCAUCCAUAGACCUUUGGAGAAACAUCUGCUGCACUGCCUCCGAGUGGGAACUCCUGAUUGUGGGAAGGUAUGCCAUCAACAAGUUGUUAUCACGUAGAUUUUAAAGGACAGUUCAUCUUUUUCUCCAUCCUGUAAAGGGCUAUUUGCAUUUAAAUGUAACCAGAAAGACAAACAUUGGACCGUUUACUUGGAAAUUAUAGAUGGGUCGAUGUCAACCUCCAUUAAUGGAUAGAUGUUACAUUUUUGAUGGAAAUGAAAAUUGGGUUGACAUUCAAUUUUAUGUUGGCUUUGCAAACUUGCGAAGAGGUGGUCCAUUUCUGGAAACAUUUCAGAAUUUCUCGAAACUUUACAGUAUUUUUUGGAAACUUUCAGAAAAUCUUGACUUUUUUUAGUAAGUGUCUGAAAGUUUUUGAUCCCUUUGCAACCCUACUUAGAUCAACUUGCAUUUGGACAGACCCCUGGUUAAUUAAAACCAAUGAAAUAUCGGUGUCUAAUGAUGUUGUAAUCUAAUGUUGUGUGGAUAUUAACAUUAUGAUGUUUUAGCAUGUUGGUUUUUGAUUGCCAUAGGCUACCUCGCGAUUGACUGUCAAUGUUUAAUGUCAAUGUGAUGUUUGAAAGAGAUAGAAUUUUGGUAACAAAAAUAUCAACAUCAACAGUAUUUGUCAAUGUUCUCCAUCAAAUUGACACUGGCAUUAGACAUUGUCCUGACACAGAAUGGCUGUUUACAUUUAAAAGUACUCAGAAAUGCUAUAACAUCAGACAGAUGUUGAUUUGGUUGGAUGUCAGAACUUAUAUUCAACCAAAUAUCAACAUCUUACAAUGUUGGGUGUCUAGAACAAAUAAAAUCCUUCUUUUGUUGGUGAGCGUUUGUUUCUGGUAAAUCAACGUAAUUUUGUCAUUCUACGACUGCAAAUGCUAAAUUGUCGUGCUCUUGUAAAGCUGGACUGUUUCAGCUGUGUGUGUGUGUGUGUGUGUGUGUUGGUGUCAGUGCUGUGGAUUCCUCUGGUUCAGGCCAGCCAGGGAGGGCAGCUCUUCAUCUACAUCCAGUCUAUCAUCAUCAGAGUAUUUGAGGUGACCUUUUUUUGUGGAAAUUUUAGUUUGAAAACACUACUUAUUUAUACUACAAAAUGGCACAGAAUAGUGCAUAAGAAUGCGAUUUAUGACACCUGGUAAUCAGUCAUUCUCAUUCAUUUUUCUGUUGUGUUGGGUGCAUUCUGGGGUCUGAUAGUGGGCAUGGUGGUAGGCUGUAACUAAGUUAGCAACUUUGUUGGUUGCAAUACAAUUUCCCAUUGCCAACCAACUAAGGUGCUAACAGGUUAGCAACUAUGCUUUUGGGAAACGCACCCCAGGUUAGAAAACAUUUCUGGCUUCCAUACUGUAGUAUGGAGAAAAAGUAUCAUAGGAAUCAUCGGCUACCUUCAAAUAAUUGGUUACAGGCAUUUUCCAGAAUUACAAUUAUUGGGUGAAUUAUCUGUUUAAUUUGUGAAAUAAACUCAUAUAAAUUAUUUGGUAUUUUCCAGAUCAGUCGUUUGACGUGGUACACACACGAUCCUGUGACAGAGGUUGUGGUUUCAGAUUUUCAGACGAUCGAGGAUGACCCACAAUACUCAAAAGACAUGGAAAAUGAUGCAUAUCCUUCAAAAGAGGGUACUUUGACCAAUCCAUAUGCAGGCACAGAUAAAUGAUGUUGUAAAUUGUAUAAUUUAUCCCGCUCUAUUUCUUUGAUAGUCCAGUUUUCCAGCAGAGGGAGACAAAGUCAUUUCAUGUUUUUCAAUGUCUUUAAAUGAGGUGAAAGAAAAAAGAAAAAAAAAUGGAGGAACAGAACUCUCUCUAAGAAUUACUUAAAUAUCUACAUCACAAUUCAUAUCUGAGCAUCAUUGAUUUAGAUAAAAUGCACUAAAUCUCCUAAUUAUAUUCAUGUAGAUAAUACUUGUUUUCAUGUAAUUCUGAAUGCAUUAUUUGUCAGCAGACUCCAGUAGUUCUGCGUCCAGCAAUGCGAGUUCAUCUAAACUUAAAUCUGUUCUGGAUCUGUGGAAUGGAGAAGCAGAGAGGAGAGGAAGACCCCUGUAUAAGACAUCUUGUAAACACCAAGCUCAUCGUCUGUCUGUAUAUCAGUGGCCGUAUUUCUCUUCGCUUACUGGCCACAGUCACUUGUCCUUUAUAAUGUAUUGUUUAUUGUGACUGCAGUGAAAGAAAAUCUCCACGCAGUAUGUACUUCAUAAUAAAACAAUAUUCUUAUUUAUAAUA